RNAcentral lists this ribosomal RNA (253 nucleotides) under uncultured prokaryote. RNAcentral describes it as "partial 16S ribosomal RNA". It matches the Rfam family "Bacterial small subunit ribosomal RNA", at positions 524 to 776 of the family's 1533-position model. The record is from RNAcentral.
UACGUAGGGGGCAAGCGUUGUCCGGAGUUACUGGGCGUAAAGCGCCCGCAGGCGGUCUGCCAAGUUCAGACUGACAGUUCCCAGCUUCACUGGGGAAGGCGUAUGAAAACUGGCAGACUUGAGGGAUAGAGAGGGACAAGGAAUUCCGGGUGGAGUGGUGAAAUGCGUAGAUAUCCGGAGGAACACCAAAGGCGAAGGCAUUGUCCUGGCUAUCUCCUGACGCUCAGGGGCGAAAGCUAGGGGAGCGAACGGG